CCUACGGGAGGCAGCAGUGGGGAAUAUUGCACAAUGGGGGAAACCCUGAUGCAGCGACGCCGCGUGAGGGAAGAAGUAUUUCGGUACGUAAAGCUCUAUCAGCAGGGAAGAAAAUGACGGUACCUGACUAAGCAGCCCCGGCUAACUACGGGCCAGAAGCCGCGGUAAUACGUCGGGGGCAAGCGUUAUCCGGAUUUACUGGGUGUAAAGGGAGCGGAGACGGCAGGGCAAGUCGGGGGUGAAAUCCCAUGGCUUAACCAUGGAACUGCUUUGGAUACUGUGCAGCUAGAGUGCAGGAGAGGGUGGCGGAAUUCCAGGUGUAGGGGUGAAAUGCGUAGAUAUUAGGAGGAACACCAGUGGCGAAGGCGGCUUACUGGACUGUAACUGACGUUGAGGCUCGAAAGCGUGGGGAGCAAACAGGAUUAGAUACCCUAGUAGUC
This 440-nucleotide ribosomal RNA is filed under the name uncultured bacterium. Its description in RNAcentral is "partial 16S ribosomal RNA". It matches the Rfam family "Bacterial small subunit ribosomal RNA", at positions 338 to 795 of the family's 1533-position model. The record is from RNAcentral.